This is a long non-coding RNA of Oreochromis niloticus (Nile tilapia), 463 nucleotides long. RefSeq lists it as uncharacterized. The record is from RefSeq and is a predicted model, not a curated record. NCBI's taxonomy places the organism in Eukaryota, Metazoa, Chordata, Actinopteri, Cichliformes, Cichlidae. The transcript has 2 exons.
GACCGCACACUGGCACCCUCUCGAAAAUCCUCUUUCUUUUCCAACUGAACCAACAAGCGUAAGUACUGCAGAGGUACAGCACCAGAAACAUGACCACUAUUUAUGUCUUAUAAUUUUAUAUUUUAAUUUGGCCGUAGGUGUGAAUGUUAGCAUGAAUGGUUGUCUGUGACAGGCUGAUGAUGUCUUGAGAGUGUACUCUGCCCUUUGCUUAAUGACAGCUAAGAUAGACUCUCAAUCCACUCUCAAUUAGCCGAUGACCUGCUCUAUCUCCUGAGCUACAGCCAGCACGAGUCGAGCUACAGUUUCUAGACUCUGUAAAGUUUUUGUUGCAAAAAGAUUGGUUUUUGGUCAGUCAAAAAACCCCAUUUGAAUAGUUUUUACUAUCAGUGUAGUGUCACUCAGAGAAAAACAUAAGAACAAUAAAGCUGACAGUCCCAGCCACAGAUGAGCUGAUAGGUUUUUU